AAGUCGUAACAAGGUUUCCGUAGGUGAACCUGCGGAAGGAUCAUUAUUGAAUAAACGUGGUUGGGUUGUUGCUGGCUUCUAGGAGCAUGUGCACGCUCACUCCAUUUUUAACCACCUGUGCACCUUGUGUAGAUCUGAACAAAUCUCGGGGAAACUCGGUCAGAGAAUUGCUGUGUGUUUAAAAGCCAGCUUUUCUUGGGUUCAGAUCUAUGUCUCUAUAUACACCAUAUGAAUGUAUUCGAAUGUAAUUGAUAGGCGUUACAGCCUCUAAAAUCAAAUACAACUUUCAACAACGGAUCUCUUGGCUCUC
This 310-nucleotide unclassified non-coding RNA is filed under the name Entoloma abortivum. RNAcentral's name for it is "partial internal transcribed spacer region". The stretch from base 1 to 46 matches the Rfam family "Eukaryotic small subunit ribosomal RNA", at positions 1786 to 1831 of the family's 1831-position model. RNAcentral also lists the same sequence under 1 other name. The record is from RNAcentral. Lineage: Eukaryota; Fungi; Basidiomycota; Agaricomycetes; Agaricales; Entolomataceae.